GACGAACGCUGGCGGCGUGCUUAACACAUGCAAGUCGAACGGAAAGGCCCUGCUUUUGUGGGGUGCUCGAGUGGCGAACGGGUGAGUAACACGUGAGUAACCUGCCCUUGACUUUGGGAUAACUUCAGGAAACUGGGGCUAAUACCGGAUAGGAGCUCCUGCUGCAUGGUGGGGGUUGGAAAGUUUCGGCGGUUGGGGAUGGACUCGCGGCUUAUCAGCUUGUUGGUGGGGUAGUGGCCUACCAAGGCUUUGACGGGUAGCCGGCCUGAGAGGGUGACCGGCCACAUUGGGACUGGGAUACGGCCCAGACUCCUAUGGGAGGCAGCAGUGGGGAAUAUUGCACAAUGGGCGGAAGCCUGAUGCAGCAACGCCGCGUGCGGGAUGACGGCCUUCGGGUUGUAAACCGCUUUCGCCUGUGACGAAGCGUGAGUGACGGUAAUGGGUAAAGAAGCACCGGCUAACUACGUG
This 468-nucleotide ribosomal RNA is filed under the name uncultured bacterium. Its description in RNAcentral is "partial 16S ribosomal RNA". It matches the Rfam family "Bacterial small subunit ribosomal RNA", at positions 28 to 507 of the family's 1533-position model. The record is from RNAcentral.